This 321-nucleotide ribosomal RNA is filed under the name Triticum aestivum (bread wheat). RNAcentral describes it as "partial small subunit ribosomal RNA". The record is from RNAcentral. Lineage: Eukaryota; Viridiplantae; Streptophyta; Magnoliopsida; Poales; Poaceae.
AUGGAAAAUCUUUGCAAGUGGAAGAUUUUACUUGACAAUAUUCCAAAAGGAACCAAACUAACUCUCAAGCCUUUGUCCAGUACUCGUUGGGAGAGUCGAAUAAAGAGUGUGCAACCUAUCAGGUACCAAACUAUCCAUGUAAUUUCAGCUUUGAAGGUAUUGGAGGAGACUUCUACUGAUGACCCAACAACUACAAGUGAUGCUCAAUCUGUGGUGAGCCAAAUGUUACAGGAAAAUAUGGUGUGCAUUGAUGCUACUAUAGGGUCAUAUCAUAUUUUAAGAAGUACAAAGAUGAAGGCUUUCAAGCUAGUAUUGAAAUAG